RNAcentral lists this ribosomal RNA (253 nucleotides) under uncultured bacterium. RNAcentral's name for it is "partial 16S ribosomal RNA". It matches the Rfam family "Bacterial small subunit ribosomal RNA", at positions 524 to 776 of the family's 1533-position model. The record is from RNAcentral.
UACAGAGGUCCCAAGCGUUGUUCGGAUUCAUUGGGCGUAAAGGGUGCGUAGGUGGCGCUGUAAGUCGGGUGUGAAAUUUCGGAGCUUAACUCCGAAACUGCAUUCGAUACUGCGGUGCUUGAGGACUGGAGAGGAGACUGGAAUUCCCAGUGUAGCGGUGAAAUGCGUAGAUAUCGUAAGGAAGACCAGUGGCGAAGGCGAGUCUCUGGACAGUUACUGACACUGAGACACGAAAGCCAGGGGAGCAAACGGG